GCAAGUCGAACGGGACCAGGGGCAACUCUGGUUCAGUGGCGGACGGGUGCGUAACACGUGAGGAACAUGACCUUCGGCGGGGGAUAGCCGGCCCAACGGCCGGGUAAUACCGCGUACGCCCUUUCGGGGCCAUCCCUGGAUGGUGAAAGCAGCACUGCGCCGAUGGAGUGCCUCGCGGCCUAUCAGCUAGGUGGUGAGGUAACGGAACACCAAGGCAACGACGGGUAGCUGGUCUGAGAGGAUGGCC
RNAcentral lists this ribosomal RNA (247 nucleotides) under uncultured bacterium. RNAcentral's name for it is "partial 16S ribosomal RNA". It matches the Rfam family "Bacterial small subunit ribosomal RNA", at positions 57 to 305 of the family's 1533-position model. The record is from RNAcentral.